UCGGGUCUGUGGUUGUAAGUCGAUGCCAGCCGCGGGCAAAGCGAUCCACGUAAGCGGGGGCAAAAGCCGCCGUGAGCAUGGCGCGGUCUAGAGGUAAGUCCGUCCGGCAAGCGCCGAGAGGGGCGGCGUGAGGGGAAUGCACCCCAGGCAAUGCCCCCAGACGGCGAGUGUGGGGUCAAAGACCAGGUCAGCCGGU
Molecule: non-coding RNA, 196 nt
Filed under: chicken gut metagenome
Description: raiA RNA
Rfam family: raiA RNA
Source: RNAcentral